GGAAUCUUCCACAAUGGGCGCAAGCCUGAUGGAGCAACACCGCGUGAGUGAAGAAGGGUUUCGGCCCGUAAAGCUCUGUUGUUAAAGAAGAACACGUAUGAGAGUAACUGUUCAUACGUUGACGGUAUUUAACCAGAAAGUCACGGCUAACUACGUACCAG
Molecule: ribosomal RNA, 161 nt
Filed under: uncultured bacterium
Lineage: Bacteria
Description: partial 16S rRNA
Rfam family: Bacterial small subunit ribosomal RNA
Source: RNAcentral